RNAcentral lists this ribosomal RNA (559 nucleotides) under uncultured archaeon. RNAcentral's name for it is "bacterial SSU rRNA". It matches the Rfam family "Archaeal small subunit ribosomal RNA", at positions 319 to 879 of the family's 1478-position model. The record is from RNAcentral.
GGCCCUAUGGGGUGCAGCAGGCGCGAAACCUUUACAAUGCACGAAAGUGUGAUAGGGGAAUUCCAAGUGCCAAUACAUUGUAUUGGCUUUUUUUGAGUGUAAGAAUCUUGAAGAAUAAGUGGUGGGAAAGACUGGUGCCAGCCGCCGCGGUAACACCAGCGCCACGAGUGGGAGUCACUUUUAUUGGGCCUAAAGCGUCCGUAGCCGGUUUAGUAAAUCCUUUGUGAAAUUGUCAAGCUUAACUUGGCAAAUUGCAGGGGACACUGCUAAACUAGAGACCGGGAGGAGUUGAAGGUAUGUUUGGGGGAGCGGUAAAAUGCUAUAAUCCCUUACAGACCACCUGUGGCGAAGGCGUUCAACUAGAACGGAUUUGACGGUGAGGGACGAAAGCCAGGGGAGCGAACCGGAUUAGAUACCCGAGUAGUCCUGGCUGUAAACUCUGCGAGCUAGGUGUUGCAUAUUCUCCGUGAAUGUGCAGUGUCGAAGCGAAGGUGCUAAGCUCGCCGCCUGGGAAGUAUGGUCGCAAGACUGAAACUUAAAGGAAUUGGCGGGGGAGCAC